AAAUUUUGCUUCUUCUUUAUCUCUCGCACAAAGUCUUUCUCUCGGCAAACUGUCUCUCAAAACUCUUGGCCAAAAUUUUGCUUUCCCACAAAGUUUUUCCUGUUGAAUCUCUCCGCAAUCAAACUAUCCUUGCUUUCCCAUUGAAGGGAUGUAAUUCCAUGAUAAAUUUUUGCCCUAAAUUGAUUUCUCUCGGUUGCCUAAAUUUUUGCCCUCUGCCUCUCUCGGCCACUUUCCUCUCCUCUGCUCCCUACCUUUGCCGUCCCGUCGCCCCUACUCUUUCCCUCUCAUCAUCAGGUUUAGGUUCGUCAAAACCAGAAAAUGGAACAACAUGACAUUGAAAAGGACGAGUUCGAAUUCUCCAAAAACAACGAAGCCCUAAUUUUUGGUCCCGCUUCUCAAAUCUCGCGGUUUCGCUACGUCGUCGACAUCGGCUGCUGCAAAUUCUUCUUCAUCCUCAACGGCAUCGUCUCAAUUCACCUACACUACCGGCACGUACUUUCCGACUCCGUUUCACCUACAACAGCCGCAAACCUAUGUCGCUGCUGCCGCUGCCGCUUCAAUUCUGCAAUUUCCUGCUCGUCCUCCUGCGGUUCCCCACGUUUAUCCUGCUCCCGCUACAGUCCCUACCGUGUACUCCCUCCCUCAGUAUCAACAGAUGAUUCUCGUUUGUUCUGUGGUGAUCUUGGUAAUGAGUUGAAUGAUGAUGUUCUAUCCAAAGCAUUUUCAAGAUUUCCAUCUUUUAACAUGGCCAGGGCACCAGUUAGUGAUUGGGAGUACAAUGCUACGCUCCCCAAAACUGCUUCAAUGAUUGAUUUGGCUUCAAAAAUAAUGAUGACUUGUUUAGCACUGACUUAAGUGAGGACCAGCUGAGGCAGAGACUUGGACACAUGUCCCACACACCUUGUCAAGAUUGGCACUAACCUCUACUAAAGCAUAGCUGGACUGCUCCACCUAGAGAUGGCUGAAGGAAGUGGAAAUGAGGAGACAACUCUUGAGCAUACAUCAACAUGGGCAGUGGUAGUUGUUUGUUUCAUCUUGAUGAGCCCAAACAAUGUACUAUAUAUAUACUAUACCUCUCGCGGAUCGUUGCUAAUAUUGUACAAUUACGUUACCUGACUUUUAGCAUUUCUUUCAACUUGUUAGGGAUGAGAGUCUUUUUGUUUGUGCACAAGAAAGUCUUUCAAGUUAUUGUAAAUGAGAAUCUUUCGGUACUUUAUUGGGAUUUUAGUACUUGCUUUGAGCACUUGUUUGCGAUUUUAGUACUUGCUAUGUUUGUACUUGUUAUCGACUUUUAAUUCAAUGAAUUAUAUUUGAGUA
Coffea arabica (coffee) is the source of this 1317-nucleotide non-coding RNA. The record is from RefSeq and is a predicted model, not a curated record. NCBI's taxonomy places the organism in Eukaryota, Viridiplantae, Streptophyta, Magnoliopsida, Gentianales, Rubiaceae.